UUCCACCUUCCAGAUCUCUUACAAGUAUAUGUAAUUGUUGGAGCCCAGUGUAUAUCUAGAACCCUAGCUGUGGGAUAAUUUGGGAAAUGCCACAUUUAGCUUUCUUGUUUCUUUAAUACAAGAGGCACUAGAAGGAAAGAAGGUAGGAUGGAUGUGGAGCAAAGCAGUGCACCAUAUCCAAUAUUAGGGCCUAACCUCUCUUCCCCUAAGAAAAUGUAAUGGAGAUAUUUUUGGUAUAUUUGGUAUAAUACUGUUAUUUUAAUGAUUUUCAGAGUCAGAAGUUGGACUUUUUUUAAUGUCAGGACUUACUCAGAGUUAUAUGCUGCAUUAAAAUUAAAAUUAAAAAUUUUAAAUCAAGCAAAGUGCUUUAAAUUAUUGGAAAGUGUUCCAAUCACAUUCUUUCCCUGUUUAAAACACUUUUGAAAUAUCUUCUUUUAAUAUCAAUUUCCUAGAUUGUUAGUUAAUUUUACUAUCUUUUCUUCUAAUUUUGGUCUUUUGUAUUCUCCUUCUAAGAUCGCUGUUAAGUCCUCCUAGUCUCGGAGGACUAGGGGUGCACUGAAGGGUAGUGUAGUAGAGGAAUUAAGAAAGGGGCGGCAAGAGUGAGGUUCGCAGGCCCAAUUCCCAGUCCUUGCCCUAGAAUUUGACCUUCAUUUCAUCAGGGCUGGAUUCCCUAUAUACCUUCAAAAUCGCAUUAUCUUGGAGCCUGACUAGGCUGAACAGCAACAGGACAAAGUUUAGAAAAUGAAGGACACCAUAUCUAACAUGGAUAUUAAGCAAAAUAAAUACUGAAGUACUGUCAUUUUACUGCUAUUGUAAUCUCUAAUUAAGAUAUUUGAGUAAGAAUUCUCUAGUCACCUGAGUCAGGUGAUAAAGUUCUGAUAUUGCUCCUUCAUAGCUUCAGAUUUUUUUCAUUAUAAAUUAAUUGCAGAAGCUUCGAGUCAUUCAUCCUAUCUUGAAUCCUGCUCCCUCUGGAGGGAAGAGUACCUGAAAAUAAGAACUUUUUAUCUGAAGGACUAAUAUUUCUACCUCUUUGCUUUAUCUAUAGUGCGUCUAAACUGUUUCUUUGUAACUUCAUUACAGAGACAAUGUUCUUCAUUAUAGAGACAAUGUUGUCCUCAAGGGAAUGUUUACUCUUUCAAAUCUCUGUUUUUGGUAACAUUUUCUGUAGUUGAAUUCUUUGGUGUUUGCUGAUGUUCGUUAUCUUUUCUUUUAUCUCUAAGUGGGAAAGCUAAUUUUUGCCCCUCUUUUCUUGAUCUCUUUGCUCCCCUUCGUCCUUCUCAGUAAAUUAUGAAAUGUUAACCCUUUGUUGGCAAUGUGAUCAGGUUUAGCUCUCCGCCCCCCAGCACUACAUCAACCAAAUGAAUUUGACCUUCAUUUCUGACACAAUCUCCCACAUUAAGUUGUUUUGGUUUUUAAAUCCUCUCUCGCUUGAUUCUCCUUUUUUAUAUUAUACAUCCCUAAAGAAUAUUAAAGCAUUUUUAUAAGUAUCAUUUGUAGAUUCUUUUCUAUUUGCAUUAUUGAUUUGACUAAUGGAAGGAAACUUUUUGUCUGCGAGUGUAUACAUUGACAGUAGUUGCUAUUUUGAUAAUGGAGCUUGCUGUCUGGAAUAAUUAUACAUAUAAAAUUUAAGGUAUUGUAUCAUUUUAUUUUUCCUUAAAAUGUGUCUUCAAUUUCCUAUAGUAUAUGAAGCUCUACAAUUGUACUAUAUAAAAUAAUCUUCUGAAUAGUAAUUGAGAUUGGAAGCAUAGCAAAAUUUAUGAUUUUAUCACUAUCUGUAAUAGAACAUUUAUUAAUGGAGUUAUUAAAUCUUAACCAUGUUGACAUGAAAGAUUGAGCAUUAAGACCAAGCUAGAUUAUCACCAGAUAUGCAGGCACAAACAUGAAUUAUCUAAAUUCUUCUUGGGGAACAGGUUUUGCUUUUUAGUCUGGGUCAUGUUGUUUCUUCCAUUUUGGCUUCUUCAUAUAACCUCAGAGUUCCAGUAUAAAUUUUAACAUUUUUAAAAAAUAUAUAAACAUUCCAAAAGGUAGUAAGUAGGUCUCUCAUUUCUGUAUUUUGAAAGCACUUAAUAAAAGGCAGGUUUCUUUGUCUCAAACUAUUAUACACAGUGCUUAAAUUAUUUUUUAUGAUUAUCUUGGUAUCUUAUAUAGUUAAAAACUUUCAUUUCUUAAAAGCCUUGUGGAAAUGGGACUAGACCAUUAGUCAAGAAUGACAUUAAUUAGCGAUGAUAUCUUGAAUGAAUGAUUUCAUUUCUUUAAAGCUUGCUUCCCAUUUCUUAUAUGAAAGAGUUGUAUCUUUUAGUGUUAAAUUAUUUUCAAAUCCAGUAAGUUGAGGGAAAGUUAGCCCUUAGAGGCUUUCAUUAAUUAAGAAAUACAGGAAGAAAUUCUGCUCAUUUCCAGUCUGUUUUUAGAUUGGAAACCCUGACUCAAUUUUAAUUUUCCUGGUUCUGUACCAGGUGUUCACUGCAUUCCCAGAAGUGAAUCAUACCUUAAGGAUUUAGAAGAAAAGGCCUCAAACUCAGUGUACUCCAUAGUGGCAUAGUGUCAGACACUGUAUUGACUUCAUUGCCUAUGGAUUUUUAGAGUAUUGUUUAUAUAUCUAUUGAGACUUAUUGUUAUUCUCACUGUGGCAGAUCAAAAUGCCCAUCAUAUAUAUUAUUUAAAUAAUAUUUAAAAUAAUAUAUUUGAGGACAUGAUUUAUUUUAAAAUCCACAUAGUAAUUGUUUUAGCUGACAGUCUGGCCACCCAUAUCUUAUUUUGGGGAUUUUGCUAAUUAAUCCAUAACCAUUAAUCCCAUAUGUCUUUAACACCUUUAUUAAAGUGGAUUUUCUACUUCAGUAUAUUUUCUGUCUUGCCUUGUCUUUUUUGUUUUACUUUUCCUUACAGAGUCUUCCUUUUUAAUGACAGGGAAUAGUAAAUCAUUUUGAGAGAAAGAUCUCUCUUUUAUUUCUUAAUGGAACCACAAAUUCUGUCUCCAUUUUUAUUAGUAUUAUUAUUUUUUAUUUGGGAUAAGGAAGAAAGAAAAUGAGAUUGAAUGUGAUCUAGUAGUAUCCAAACCUCAUUCUAAUGUUUAUUGCUUGUUCUUCAACACCCCACAUUUUGCCAGUGUGUCUGACAUACCUCUAUUUUUUUUUUCCUAAAGCAGUUUAAAAUGAUAGUUUUAAUUCCUCCCUUCUGCUCUGCAUUCAGUAGGUGCCCAAUAUAUGCUAGUUGAUUAACCAGGUAUUGAGUAAUAUUAAGGGUAGGGAGAGCUCAGUCCACCAUUGCUGUCUUCUCUUCCCUUAGUUAACACCAAGUCACUGUUGCUCUUUAUUUUUAAUCAUUUGAGUGUGUAAGUUGCGUAAGUCAGUUUUCUCUCAUUGCAUCUCUUCAUCUUUCCUUUGAUGGCUGUAUUUUGUUUUGGGCUAAUUUUAUUGUACUUAAGUAUAUUUGUACUGUAUAGAAAAAUUUUAAGUUACUCUUUUAAAAACUUUCUGUUGUUUAUAACAUUUCGCAUAAAAUUCAUUGGAUGAGAUGCAUUUCUGUCGGAAAAUAUUAGAAGCCUACAGCCAGGAAAAUUUAUGGGUUAUGUCUCUUACCAGCUGCUGGUUGAAAAAAACUUUUAAAUAAACACAAAUAUUAAGUAAUAUCUUCUAAAGGCAUUUAAAAACCCCCACUCUCCUGAUUACUUCUUCUGCAGUUGCCAAGUAAUACUGAGUGGCACUGAAGAAAUUAUGUUCAGAUUUUUUCAAAGAGCUGCUUCUGAUAGGAAAAUGCUUAGUAAUGAUGAAGACACGCCUUCCAGUUCAGUGGCCAUUUUGUAAAGUAGUGCUGGAGAAACAAGUGGGAACCAUCAAAGAAAGAAGUGUACAGAUCAAAAGAAUAUGAGCAAGAGGCAGUAAAUUUUUCAUCUAGGUCAAUUGGAGAAAUUAGAACUAUGCUGUCUAGAACAUCAUGAGUUUUGUUUUACUACCUGAACAAGUUUAAGAACUCCACAGCAUUCUUAUUUUGUACUUAAGGAUACUGAGACCAAGAGAAGAUUUUCCUGAAAUAUAGCAACCUAUAAAGUAUCAUCAGACCACUCAGUAUUUUCCUUGGUAGUUUAGAAAGCUAGGUAUACCAUGGUCUUAUCAGAAGUACCGUAGAAUGGAACCUUUUAGCAAGGACCUCACCUCUUUUGUUUGGUUUUCUCCCUGUGCCUAGAUAUUGCCUGGCACGUAGAGGAUGUUCAGUUAGUAUUUAUUAUUGAAUGGAUCACCUAAUUCUUCCAUGCUUGUCCUAUUCUUCCCUCUGUGGGCUAGAACCUGAAAGGUAAUAACUUGUUCUAUCUGUAAGGAUUUGAAGCAGUUUAGAAGAGAGAACCUAAUAAUAAAAGUAUUUUACCCAAUACUUCCAUUUCUAUGCUAAUUAAUCUUCCUUCUUAAAUGCAAACCAUCGAUAAAGGUAUUGGCACGUCUACAGAAUGUACCAUAAAUCACGCAGAAAAUAAAUAGUGCAUUGAUUGAGUGGUUCAGACUUUGUAUAAUCCAUUAAUGUAGGAUCUGAUAUCUUUAAUGGGAGUGAGGUAUGAAAUGCAGGUAGUCUAGAAUUUAAAUGAGUCAUUUUCCUAAAUGUUUGUUCAGCAAAAAUGUUGGGGUUUCCUGUAUAUUUGUGUUUGUUUUUCUUACAAAAAUAUGUUUCAGCCAUCAGAACAGUCUUAGUACAACCAAAGACUCUUGGCUAUCUUUCAUUUAGCAAAAUUCUUUCUCGUGCUAUGAUGUGUGUUUUCUGUCAGCUAAAAUUUACAGGAAUUGUAAACCACAAGGAUUUCCUGAGGAGAAGCUCCCACAUGCUGUGUCUGAGGUUUCUCAUAUUUCUUUUGGCAGCAGUAACAUUCUCCAGUACUACAGAAUUAUAGUUUGAGUUCAGUGCUAAUAAUUUCUCUUCAGGAAAACAACUUAACUGAAACAUUUGUGGUUGUGUUUUGCUUGAACUAAGGGAAAAAGUUAUAACUGAGAAAAUUACCUAUCACCACAUACUCUGCCUUACCCUGCACAAAAAAAGUCCCUUUCUAAAGCUCCUAUCAACCAAUAUAAUAAUACUCACUAUAUGAAACAUAGAAAUUUCUUUGUAUUACUUUAUAAGCCUAAUAGCCCAAAACUUUCAAAUAUAAUGGUUAGAGCUAUUGCAAUAGGGAGUCUCACAUUGCUGUAAAAGAAAAAAGAAAAAUAAAUUAUUUUAUGUUGGA
This is a long non-coding RNA of Pteropus alecto (black flying fox), 5203 nucleotides long. RefSeq lists it as uncharacterized. Lineage: Eukaryota; Metazoa; Chordata; Mammalia; Chiroptera; Pteropodidae. The transcript has 2 exons. The record is from RefSeq and is a predicted model, not a curated record.